GGGGACGUGGCUCAGGGGGAGAGCGCUUGACUCACAUUCAAGAGGUCGGAGGUUCAAAUCCUCUCGUCCCCACCA
Molecule: transfer RNA, 75 nt
Filed under: Bacillota bacterium
Lineage: Bacteria; Bacillati; Bacillota
Also listed under: 1 other name
Description: Firmicutes bacterium (anaerobic digester metagenome) tRNA-Val
Rfam family: tRNA
About the family: Transfer RNA (tRNA) molecules are approximately 80 nucleotides in length. Their secondary structure includes four short double-helical elements and three loops (D, anti-codon, and T loops).
Source: RNAcentral